AGCUUGCUCUUAUGAAGUUAGCGGCGGACGGGUGAGUAACACGUGGGUAACCUGCCCAUAAGACUGGGAUAACUCCGGGAAACCGGGGCUAAUACCGGAUAACAUUUUGAACCGCAUGGUUCGAAAUUGAAAGGCGGCUUCGGCUGUCACUUAUGGAUGGACCCGCGUCGCAUUAGCUAGUUGGUGAGGUAACGGCUCACCAAGGCAACGAUGCGUAGCCGACCUGAGAGGGUGAUCGGCCACACUGGGACUGAGACACGGCCCAGACUCCUACGGGAGGCAGCAGUAGGGAAUCUUCCGCAAUGGACGAAAGUCUGACGGAGCAACGCCGCGUGAGUGAUGAAGGCUUUCGGGUCGUAAAACUCUGUUGUUAGGGAAGAACAAGUGCUAGUUGAAUAAGCUGGCACCUUGACGGUACCUAACCAGAAAGCCACGGCUAACUACGUGCCAGCAGCCGCGGUAAUACGUAGGUGGCAAGCGUUAUCCGGAAUUAUUGGGCGUAAAGCGCGCGCAGGUGGUUUCUUAAGUCUGAUGUGAAAGCCCACGGCUCAACCGUGGAGGGUCAUUGGAAACUGGGAGACUUGAGUGCAGAAGAGGAAAGUGGAAUUCCAUGUGUAGCGGUGAAAUGCGUAGAGAUAUGGAGGAACACCAGUGGCGAAGGCGACUUUCUGGGUCUGUAACUGACACUGAGGCGCGAAAGCGUGGGGAGCAAACAGGAUUAGAUACCCUGUU
This 732-nucleotide ribosomal RNA is filed under the name Bacillus tropicus. Its description in RNAcentral is "bacterial SSU rRNA". It matches the Rfam family "Bacterial small subunit ribosomal RNA", at positions 77 to 791 of the family's 1533-position model. The record is from RNAcentral. Lineage: Bacteria; Bacillati; Bacillota; Bacilli; Caryophanales; Bacillaceae.